GACGAACGCUGGCGGCGUGCUUAACACAUGCAAGUCGAACGGAAAGGCCCUGCUUUUGUGGGGUGCUCGAGUGGCGAACGGGUGAGUAACACGUGAGUAACCUGCCCUUGACUUUGGGAUAACUUCAGGAAACUGGGGCUAAUACCGGAUAGGAGCUCCUGCUGCAUGGUGGGGGUUGGAAAGUUUCGGCGGUUGGGGAUGGACUCGCGGCUUAUCAGCUUGUUGGUGGGGUAGUGGCUUACCAAGGCUUUGACGGGUAGCCGGCCUGAGAGGGUGACCGGCCAGAUUGGGACUGAGAUACGGACGAGACUGCUACGGGAGGCAGCAGUGGGGAAUAUUGCACAAUGAGCGGAAGCCUGAUGCAGCAACGCCGCGUGCGGGAUGACGGCAUUCGGGUUGUAAACCGCUUUCGCCUGUGACGAAGCGUGAGUGACGGUAAUGGGUAAAGAAGCACCGGCUAACUACGUG
RNAcentral lists this ribosomal RNA (468 nucleotides) under uncultured bacterium. RNAcentral's name for it is "partial 16S ribosomal RNA". It matches the Rfam family "Bacterial small subunit ribosomal RNA", at positions 28 to 507 of the family's 1533-position model. The record is from RNAcentral.